Zalophus californianus (California sea lion) is the source of this 2083-nucleotide long non-coding RNA. RefSeq lists it as uncharacterized. The transcript has 4 exons. The record is from RefSeq and is a predicted model, not a curated record. Lineage: Eukaryota; Metazoa; Chordata; Mammalia; Carnivora; Otariidae.
GUCACCCAACAGUCAAUGGCUGCCCGGUGGCUUCCUGUGGAGCUCUCAGUGCCCAGUUUCAACGUCGGCAGUAAUGAUGUUUUGGACUCUGUUGCGGGGCCGUCCUGCGCUCUGCGGGUGCUUAGCAACCCCCCUAGCCUCUGCCCACCAGAUGCCAGGAGCAACCCCCCACGCCAGACGGGGUAACCAGAAGCGUCUCUAGACAUCGCUAAAUAUUCCCCGGAAGAUGCUAUGAGCCCAGCUGAGAACCACUGGGUCAUGACUCCAAUAAUCAGCUGUGCUCCCAGAUCUCAGCUGGGCGACAGCCACCUGUAAAUAAGAUCUUAGGUAUGAACUUGGACCUUUGGGGACAAGGACAAAGGCUAUGAGCUGUGGACCGAGGUAAUGUCUCCUUUGUGUUCUCAGGUGAGUAGGGACUGGGUGGUGUUGGGAAGGGGAGAUGGAGGAUGUUUCUGGGAUUUGGGAGACUGCAUUCUGGUUUGGGGUCAGGCUGACACCCCAGGCACAGGCUUGUCGUCUGACCAACAAAACCUCUGUCUUCCCUUCUCUUCCUUACUGAAUAAUUCAGCCCUGUGGGCCCGCCUUGGGUCAGAUCCUCCUAAGACCUCUCUGACACACUUGUCCUCUCACGCCAGCUUAUGGUCCUUUCUGUGGUUUUCCCUGAUCCAAUGCUUACCCCAUCACAACCCUUAACGACCACAUGGCCACGGCCUCUGCUAUCUUGUAUUCCCAGGGCCUAGCAAGAGGACCUGAUACAGAGGCCUCUUUACUCCCUGUGGUUUGCUGAUGGACUGACAGGGGCUAAGCCCCCAGCCAGGCAUGGUGGCGAUCAGACAAGACUAUAUCUACUGGGGGAGGUGGGCACACACAUCAUUUCCAGCCAUGAAAAGGGCCACGAGGGGUGUCGAGAAUGGGGACAUCUAGUCUGCUGGUCAGGGUUGUGCUGUGUUUCCUGUAGGGUGACCAGUCAUCCCGGUUCACCCAGAACUGAGGGGUUUCUUGGGACACGGAACAUCAAAGUUAAAACGGGCAAAGUCCUAGACAAAUCAGGAUGAGAGGCUUAUUCUAGUGCCUGCACCUGCCUGGAAGAUUUACUCGCUAGCACGCAGUUUUAAAUCCUGGAACAACGCGACAAGUCAGUGCCAGAGUCAAACCCCAUUUGACAGGAGCUCCGCGGAAGUGUCUCUUCUAAGGGCUGACCUAGUGCCGAGAGAAGCAGCGCUGGAGACUUCUCCGAGUGCCCCCGUGUCCCCGCUUGCAGGCGGCUCCCCGCACCAGCCCAUCCGACUUAGCGGGUUCAUUAUGCCUCGGGUCCAACGUCAUAGCCGAAGUUUGGAAUUUUCCAGGAGAGGUGACCUAGCCUGGGGUGGGGGGAAUGCACCCAUUUGGGGCUGGUGGUCCUGCCAUGGCGGGGGCGGGGGGCGGACAUGGCUUCCCUCUGUGGGCCUCAGGGAUGGAGUUUUGGCUCAGGAGUGUGGCUCCCUUGUUCUUUGGUCACCAAAUCGUGUGGGGAACGGGGCCCUAGGGGAACCCGCCUCCUGGGCCACAGUGAGGAGUAAAUGAGUCACAAUGUGAAUAGGACAGUGCCUGCCACAUCACAAGGACUCCAAUACGAGCUAGUUUUCAUAUUUCCUCAGCGUCCCCAAGGGCUGGUAUGAUGGCCACCCCACAAGUAGUAGGUGGGUCUCAGUGGGUCUCACCGCCCUUGUCUGGGAGGCAAGAGGGGGAGGUGGGGAUCAGCUCCAAGGCCUUGAUUCUCAAAGCCUCGUCCUGGGCCAGCAGCAGGUAUCACAGGUACGCUCCUUAGAAAUGCAGUCUCGGCCCCACCCAAACCACGGAGCCAGACCCUUCCUUCACAACAGCCCCAGGGGCUUCGUGGCAUUCCGAGGUUGGCGGAACACACGGCUCCUAGGCACCUUCCAGCCCUGGAGGGCUGGGAUUCCCUGCCCAGUCCUGGCUGCCUGGGUGCUCCGGUGUGAUGGGGGGUGACAUGCGGUGGUGGGCCCGGCUGCGCUCCAUGCACUCCCCUGAGCUCCCAGAUCUGGCUCACCUCCUACCAGCAGAUCCUGCUGCACCCUGCCCG